This 372-nucleotide ribosomal RNA is filed under the name uncultured Pantoea sp. Its description in RNAcentral is "bacterial SSU rRNA". It matches the Rfam family "Bacterial small subunit ribosomal RNA", at positions 123 to 490 of the family's 1533-position model. Lineage: Bacteria; Pseudomonadati; Pseudomonadota; Gammaproteobacteria; Enterobacterales; Erwiniaceae. The record is from RNAcentral.
GAUCUGCCCGAUAGAGGGGGAUAACCACUGGAAACGGUGGCUAAUACCUUAUAACGUCGCAAGACCAAAGAGGGGGACCUUCGGGCCUCUCACUAUCGGAUGAACCCAGAUGGGAUUAGCUAGUAGGCGGGGUAAUGGCCCACCUAGGCGACGAUCCCUAGCUGGUCUGAGAGGAUGACCAGCCACACUGGAACUGAGACACGGUCCAGACUCCUACGGGAGGCAGCAGUGGGGAAUAUUGCACAAUGGGGGCUAUCCUGAUGCAGCCAUGCCGCGUGUAUGAAGAAGGCCUUCGGGUUGUAAAGUACUUUCAGCGGGGAGGAAGGCGAUGGGGUUAAUAACCUUAUCGAUUGACGUUACCCGCAGAAAAAG